This 498-nucleotide ribosomal RNA is filed under the name uncultured bacterium. RNAcentral's name for it is "partial 16S ribosomal RNA". It matches the Rfam family "Bacterial small subunit ribosomal RNA", at positions 28 to 523 of the family's 1533-position model. The record is from RNAcentral.
GAUGAACGCUAGCUACAGGCUUAACACAUGCAAGUCGAGGGGUAGCAGGGUAGCAAUACCGCUGACGACCGGCGCACGGGUGAGUAACACGUAUCCAACCUUCCCAUAACUCGGGGAUAGCCUUUCGAAAGAAAGAUUAAUACCGGAUGGUACUUUUUCAAGGCAUCUUGAGAAAGUUAAAGAUUUAUUGGUUAUGGAUGGGGAUGCGUUCCAUUAGAUAGUUGGUGAGGUAACGGCUCACCAAGUCUUCGAUGGAUAGGGGUUCUGAGAGGAAGGUCCCCCACAUUGGUACCGAGACACGGACCAAACUCCUACGGGAGGCAGCAGUGAGGAAUAUUGGUCAAUGGGCGAGAGCCUGAACCAGCCAAGUAGCGUGAAGGAUGAAGGUCCUAUGGAUUGUAAACUUCUUUUAUACAGGAAUAAAGUUAGCCACGUGUGGUUAUUUGUAGGUACUGUAUGAAUAAGGACCGGCUAAUUCCGUGCCAGCCGCCGCAGUAA